CCUACGGGUGGCAGCAGUGGGGAAUAUUGGGCAAUGGGCGCAAGCCUGACCCAGCAACGCCGCGUGAAGGAAGAAGGCUUUCGGGUUGUAAACCUCUUUUAAGAGGGAAGAGCAGAAGACGGUACCUCUUGAAUAAGCCACGGCUAACUACGUGCCAGCAGCCGCGGUAAUACGUAGGUGGCAAGCGUUGUCCGGAUUUACUGGGUGUAAAGGGCGUGCAGCCGGGAAGGCAAGUCAGAUGUGAAAUCCCGGGGCUCAACCGCGGAACGGCAUUUGAAACUGUUAUUCUAGAGUACCGGAGAGGUAAUCGGAAUUCCUGGUGUAGCGGUGAAAUGCGUAGAUAUAAGGAAGAACACCAGUGGCGAAGGCGGAUGACUGGACGGCAACUGACGGUGAGGCGCGAAAGCGUGGGGAGCAAACAGGAUUAGAUACCCCUGUAGUC
RNAcentral lists this ribosomal RNA (442 nucleotides) under uncultured bacterium. Its description in RNAcentral is "partial 16S ribosomal RNA". It matches the Rfam family "Bacterial small subunit ribosomal RNA", at positions 338 to 795 of the family's 1533-position model. The record is from RNAcentral.